CCUACGGGCGGCAGCAGUGAGGAAUAUUGGUCAAUGGUCGCGAGACUGAACCAGCCAAGUAGCGUGCAGGAUGACGGCCCUAUGGGUUGUAAACUUCUUUUAUGAGGGAAUAAAGUGAGUCACGUGUGCCUUUUUGUAUGUACUUUAUGAAUAAGGAUCGGCUAACUCCGUGCCAGCAGCCGCGGUAAUACGGAGGAUCCGAGCGUUAUCCGGAUUUAUUGGGUUUAAAGGGAGCGUAGGUGGUUUGUUAAGUCAGUUGUGAAAGUCCGGGGCUCAACCAUGACACUGCAGUUGAUACUGGCAGCCUUGAGUUCGGGGGAGGUAGGCGGAAUUCGUGGUGUAGCGGUGAAAUGCUUAGAUAUCACGAAGAACUCCGAUUGCGAAGGCAGCAUACGAAAUCGCCACUGACGUUGAAGCUCGAAAGCGUGGGUAUCGAACAGGAUUAGAUACCCGGGUAGUC
Molecule: ribosomal RNA, 460 nt
Filed under: uncultured bacterium
Lineage: Bacteria
Description: partial 16S ribosomal RNA
Rfam family: Bacterial small subunit ribosomal RNA
Source: RNAcentral